NNUUUGGUGGCGAUAGCGAAGAGGUCACACCCGUUCCCAUACCGAACACGGAAGUUAAGCUCUUCAGCGCCGAUGGUAGUUGGGGUGUUAGCCCCUGCAAGAGUAGGACGUUGCCAGGC
This 119-nucleotide ribosomal RNA is filed under the name Sporosarcina pasteurii. Lineage: Bacteria; Bacillati; Bacillota; Bacilli; Caryophanales; Caryophanaceae. The record is from RNAcentral.